Molecule: small nucleolar RNA, 66 nt
Filed under: Mus spicilegus (steppe mouse)
Lineage: Eukaryota; Metazoa; Chordata; Mammalia; Rodentia; Muridae
Description: Small nucleolar RNA SNORD113/SNORD114 family (ENSMSIG00000007486.1)
Source: RNAcentral
UAGAUUUAUGAUGGCCAUUGGUGGUACAUAUGAGGUACAAACAGAGUCUAAGUCUCUGAGGCCCAU